GGUUUUAUGAUUUAUGAUUUAAAACCGAAAAAUAAGAAAAAGCUGAAACUGGACAACGCACUGUCGGGUUGGAAAGAAUGGUUUGGCUUGGGAGCUGCAGGGUUGGGAGGCCCGGACAGACGGGUUCUGGAAAGUGAGCAGCGUAUCAUCCUUUCAUAGACGAUAGACUCUUUGCGCACAAAGUGCACCGCGGGGUACUACUCCCACCACCUGCUUCGUUUUAGUAUUAGUUUAGGGC
RNAcentral lists this long non-coding RNA (238 nucleotides) under Elaeis guineensis (African oil palm). RNAcentral describes it as "long non-coding RNA (EGUI_LNC052355)". Lineage: Eukaryota; Viridiplantae; Streptophyta; Magnoliopsida; Arecales; Arecaceae. The record is from RNAcentral.